RNAcentral lists this ribosomal RNA (511 nucleotides) under Phellinus punctatus. RNAcentral describes it as "SSU rRNA". It matches the Rfam family "Bacterial small subunit ribosomal RNA", at positions 428 to 920 of the family's 1533-position model. Lineage: Eukaryota; Fungi; Basidiomycota; Agaricomycetes; Hymenochaetales; Hymenochaetaceae. The record is from RNAcentral.
AAAUCCUUGGUGUGUCACCAAGGAUAACGUAAGGGAAAAUAAUGAUAUUACCUUACUAUUAGUGUCGUCCAAGUGCUCGUGCCAGAAGACUCGGUAAGGCGAGAGACGCAAACGUUAUUCGUCUUGAUCAGGCGUAAAGGGUGUGUAGGCGGUUUUAAGAAUUCAAAAUUAAGUUUAUUAUUAUAAUAUUAAUAAAANAAAAGUGUUAUAAUUUUAAAACAGAAUCAAUUAAAGCUAGAAUCUAAUAGAGGUUAAAAUAAUACUUAUGGUAGGUGUACCAACCUAAGAUAAUAAGUAGAAUUUUAAGGGCGAAGGCAUUUACCCACUAAAGAUUGACGCUGAGAAACGAAGGUGAGGAAAGAAAAAAGGAUUAGAGACCCUUGUAUCCCUCACUGUCAACGAUGAAUGGUAGUUACUAGUAAGAAAUAAACUAGAAGCGAUGUUAACACGUAAACCAUUCCGCCUUGUGAGUACGACUGCAAAGUUGAAAACAAAAAAAUUAGUCGGUUUC